UCGGGAAUUUUGGGCAAUGGGCGAAAGCCUGACCCAGCAACGCCGCGUGAGGGAUGAAGUAUUUCGGUAUGUAAACCUCGAAAGAAUGGGAAGAAUAAAUGACGGUACCAUUUAUAAGCUCCGGCUAACUACGUGCCAGCAGCCGCGGUAAUACGUAGGGAGCAAGCGUUGUUCGGAUUUACUGGGCGUAAAGGGCGCGUAGGCGGCGCGGUAAGUCACUUGUGAAAUCUCUGAGCUUAACUCAGAACGGCCAAGUGAUACUGCUGUGCUAGAGUUCGGAAGAGGGAAGCGGAAUUCUUGGUGUAGCGGUGAAAUGCGUAGAUAUCAAGAGGAACACCUGAUGCGAAGGCGGGUUGCUGGGCCGACACUGACGCUGAUGCGCGAAAGCCAGGGGAGCAAACG
RNAcentral lists this ribosomal RNA (402 nucleotides) under uncultured bacterium. RNAcentral's name for it is "bacterial SSU rRNA". It matches the Rfam family "Bacterial small subunit ribosomal RNA", at positions 355 to 774 of the family's 1533-position model. The record is from RNAcentral.